Molecule: long non-coding RNA, 1206 nt
Organism: Pygocentrus nattereri (red-bellied piranha)
Lineage: Eukaryota; Metazoa; Chordata; Actinopteri; Characiformes; Serrasalmidae
Source: Ensembl
GCCCUUUAAUGGUGCAGAGUUCUUUGAGUGUUCAUGGUUCUAAACAGAACCAUUAGCUUCAUGAAAGAACCCUAGAAGAACCAUCUUUUUUUAAGGGUGCAGAGCUGGUCAUGCAACACCAGAACCUGACCUCACUGAUGUCCUUGUGUCCGAGUGCUUGUUGUCUGUCUUUCUGAGGGGAAAAACUGGUGGACUUGUCCUUUAACGCGCUGAAGACUUCUGGCUUCUUGCCAGGGCGGCGUGUGACGCAACGGUAAGAGGUGGGGCGUCUCCAUGGGCGUGAGGGUCGCCAACCAAUUAACUUCCGAGGCCGGACACGUGGUGAUUUGGCCACGCCCCUCCCCAACUCAGCGCUCUCUCAUGCUGCACUUCUACAAGUCUGCAAGCGGGACAGCAGCAACCGGGACGGAGGGCUUUUAGCCGGAUAGACGCUUCACUCUACAGUUUACCUUUCACUCAGAGCUCUCGGAGCCAAAGUCGGCCUAAUUUGAUGCUCUGUACCUUUAUUUUCACCUUCACCAGCCUGGAAUUACACUUUCUGAGGACUGCGUUGUGUUUUGAACAGUGCGUCAAGGAAGCCUGGCACUAGGACUGGAACACCUGGAGGGCAGAAAGUGGACUCUCUGCACAUUUAGGACUCUCCGCGUGUUUUCUGCUCCAUGCACUGACCGUGGGGACUCUCUUCAUGGAGCUAUGGCCACAAGUCCCCAGCUGGGGCAUUGCUCAGUGCCGCUGAGGCGUUAGCAGGCUCGGCUAAGCCUCUGCUACACCGCGUCUGGCCCUCACGCGUCCCCCCCCCCUUUGCUGUGCCUUCUUUCCAGCGGUGGAUGCUUGCCAGCGUUUGCGGACAGGUGCUGUAGGCCACGCCGGGGUUUGAAUGCCUUUGCACGGCUCUUGCUGGUUCCUGUGCUGCAGGCAAGGCUUCAGCUUGCUGGGACGCGAGCAUGGAGAGAAAGAGGAGGAGGAGGAGGAGGAAUCGUUCGAGUUGCGCAACAAGGACGCGCAGACGGGCCAACUGGAAGUGACUCUUUCUCAGCCUACGCAAUCAGCCAAUGGCACACCCAGUCUGUCAGGUGUCAGUGAGGAGAACAGCAGGCUGAUCGUGAAGAAGGCCAUGGAGGAUGACCCGGAGGUUCUGGUCAAGGGUGAGUGUUAUCACUGUUAUUAAUAUUGAUAUUGGUCCCAUUUUGUUUGGAUAUCCUCCAA